Molecule: non-coding RNA, 1067 nt
Organism: Camellia sinensis
Lineage: Eukaryota; Viridiplantae; Streptophyta; Magnoliopsida; Ericales; Theaceae
Source: RefSeq, a predicted model, not a curated record
GGUAGAACAAAUUCACUAGAUAACUUGGAAAUAAGGGUAUACUUUGAAGUUGAAACAUGUUGAUACAUGCGAAACAGAACAAUUCCUCGCACAUAACCACCUAGAUUAUGUAUAUUAUUGCUCUUCUGUUUAUCAAAUUGUUUUGUUUGAUAUAGUUUCAUAAUUUUUACAAUUGAAAUAUAGAUAAACUAUAGAAUAUUUCGAAAGGAGGGAGGUUGACGCUGAUUAAGAAUGUGUUAAGUAGUAUUCUGACUUAUUUCAUGUUUGUGCAUGUUAUUCCAGUGUCUGUGGCACUGUGGUUGGAGAAGCUUUAAAGGGAUUUUCUAUGGGGUAGUGGAGGAGAUGAAUUUAGAUACCAUUUGAUUGAUUGGGGACAGAUUUACCAAUGUAAGUAAGCAGGGGGUUUUGGGGGUUAGGCGGUUGGUGACUUUCAAUAAAGCCUUGUUAGGGAAGUUGUGGCAUUUUGCUUGGGAGCAUGAUAGACUCUGGCGAAGGGCGGUCGCCUCUAAGUAUGGGUUGGGAAGAGGGGAUUGGGUUUUUGGGGAUGUGACUAGCACUCAUGGUUGUGGGCUUUGGAAAGGGAUUUGGCUGGGGAGGGUGGAGUUUUGGAGGUGGGUAGGGUUCAGGAUGAGGGAUGGGGUGAGGGUGAGGGUUUGGAAGGAUAGAUGGUGUGGUGAGGUUUCAUUGGAGACCCAUUUGCCUUUGAUCUUCGAUAUUGUGGUUGAUUGGGAGGCUACAGUGACAUCUUAUUUAGGGGGUGGGGAUAUGGUGGUUUGGGAUAUUCAAUUGCAGCGGUAGGCGCAAAAUUGGGAAGUGGCUCAGUUGGUGGAAUUGUGGGGUCUCUUGUAUGGGUUGGGCAUCACUAGUGUGGGAUCCGAUGUAAUCAUGUAAUGAUGUGGAAUGGGGUGGGGGCCAAGGGGUAGUUUACCGUUUCUUCAUUAUAUUGGGGUUUAGUGGGAAAUUGUAGUCAAGGCUGUUAAAAUCGGGAUCCUAAGUAGGAUCGGUGAGAAGGUCUGGUGGAUCGGAUCGUAGGAUCGGAUCAAGGAUCGUAAGAUCCUCUUUUCUAU